Molecule: long non-coding RNA, 6824 nt
Organism: Rosa rugosa (rugosa rose)
Lineage: Eukaryota; Viridiplantae; Streptophyta; Magnoliopsida; Rosales; Rosaceae
Exons: 2
Source: RefSeq, a predicted model, not a curated record
AUAAAAAAAUAAAAAAAAAAUAAUAAUAAUAAUAAUAAUACUCUAUACUAAGCCAUGUCUGCAUCUCUGUAGGAGUUGAGGCUGAGCUCAAGGGAAAUGUGAGAGCCACCGCCAUAACCGCUACCUCCCUCGGAAGUAGUCUUCAUGAUGCCCAAGAUGUCCUCACCAUGCAUGGGGAACAAUGGAAGGGUUUCAAUCUCCUGGUGAUCUCCUCCUCGUUGUUGCAGGGAUGUUUGUCCUCCUGUUGUGCCAAAAGAGUUGUACUGGUAUUAGUGUUGAAGUGUGAGGAAGAAUAUGAAACAAAAUUUAAAUCAAGAAAUCCUUCAUUACCAGUAGAAUCGGUGGAACCAAAGUUGAGAUUAAUGGAUCUACCAUCAUCAGUAGAACUAGUGGACCCAAAAUUGAUGUCAAUGGAUCCACCAGCUGGCCCAAAAUUGAUGUCGAUGGAUCCACCAGCACCAGUAGAACCAGUGGACCCAAAAUUGAGAUCAAUGGAUCCACCAGUACCAGGAGAACUAGUUCCCAUGGGCACUUGAGCAGCCUGAUUGCACCUCUUCAUCUGCUUCUCUCGAGCCCUGACAUUCUGGAACCAAAAAUAAAUGUUCUUGCCCUCAACAUGUCCAUACUGGUUCAGCUGGAGACAGAUCUCGUGAAUAUGCUCUGUAGUUGGGCGCUUAACUCCCUUGUCGUAGUAAAGAUCCUUGAGGAUCCUUAUUUGAUCUGGAGUAGGAACCCACCUGGCACGGCUUCGCCAGAAAUCUGUGUUGGCACUACUCCCGGCUGCUUGGUUGUUUCCUCCAUCCUCGAUUUGUUGCUGGGUUUGUAGCUCCAUCAGUUGCAGAGUUCGUGGUUCCAUGGUGAUGGGUUGAGGGGAUGUGAAGAUCGAAGAGUAAAGUUGUCAAGUGUUUGAAGGAGUUGUUGUUAAAGGGAUUAAGGAUGAUGAUGGUGUGUUGGAGAUCUGAAAGUUCAGAGGAAAGAUGAGAUUGAAUCAACUAGAUGGGAGAGAAGAUCAGAAGAGAAGGAUUGAAUCGAAGAAGAAAUAUUUUGAGUUUUGAAAGAAGAGGAAAAGCUGAAGAGUUGGGAGAGAGGGGCUGGAACUCAGGAGAGAUUUUCGUUCCUUUGGAGUGAACAGUUGCGCCCUCAGAAUGCACCUAUUUAUAGAGCGAGGUGAGCAGAUCUCCACCGUUGGAUGGACGAUUCCUGUGAUUCAUUCUACGCGUUGGAUUAAAGUCGCCCUGAAACCCGGAAAAGUUGUUGGCGCGUGGAGAGCGUGUAAGGGGACCGAGGGAAUCUCGAGGCGCUGUGGCAGACAGCUGUAGCCGAAAGCAGAUUUGACUGCCGUAAAUCACGGAAGGGAUAAGCCGUGACACAAGUGGGCCGUACUUGGGCCUGUCUCGGAUCAAGGCAUCACUGUAGCUGUGGGUGGAGGCCUGAUGGGCCGAGUUUCAGAAACAGUUUUGGACAUGAUGGGCCGAGUUUCUGAAACAGUUUUGGAUGAGUUGGGCUGGGUUUCUGCAACAGUCUUGGAUGUUUUGUGCCGAAUUGUUGAAACAGUUGAAACAGUUGGUUUAAAUAAAAGGAUUGGUAUGGAUAAUAACGUGAGCAGCCGUGCUCGAGUGGUUGAGUGUAAAGUUCGUGUACAAGAGGUCUGAGGUUCGAACCUCGCCUCUCGUUUAUUUUUAUUAUGUUCGUUUAUGACAUAAUAAGUAUAAAAUUUGUACACAUUAUAUUAAGCACAGCUUGUGCUCCAGUGGUUGGGGACAAAGGUUUCGUGCAGCAAGUUAAGGUUUCGAACCUUGCCUCCCCCGUUUUUUUUUAUUUAUGUCACUCCAUCAGAACCCUCCUCCGAAGGCUGAAACCAGCAAGAAGGCUGCCACUCGCCCGCAUACCGCUCCUCCAAAGGAGUAAAUGGAGGUACAAGUCUAGGCUGAAAGACUUUAAACAUUAAGCGCUGCAUGGGAGGCAACCCAUUUCAACCGUAGCUGUGGAGGAGCCAUCAACGCAGAUUUGCUCUCUUAAACUCUAUCUCCUCUAUUACUAUUUUCUGAUUGUAUCUUUGUUAUUUGCGUUUUUAGUUUUUGUUUUUAGGUUUUCUUGAGUUAAUCAUUCCAUUCACAUGAUAAUUGUUCAUUGCAUGCUCUAACUUGUUUAACAUUGAGGACAAUGUAUGAUUUAAGUGUGGGGGGAAGGAUUAAUGCUUGUAGUUAGUUUUUGUCAUAAAAAGAAAAAAAAAAAAAAAAAAAAAAAAAUCGAAAAAUGUCAGAAAAAUAAAAAAUUUUCGUUGCUUUUGUUUUUGUUUUGAGUCUUAGGAUGCCUUUCAACUGUCUGGGAUGAUUCUAUAUCUCUGAAAUCAUGACUAAAAGAGGAUCACAACAUUGAGAUGAUUUUAACAUGGUAUUCUUUGGUUAAUUGAGAUAUAUGAAAAAUGUAUGCACUUGUAGUGGAUAUGGAUUGCAUGACCUUGGUACAGAAUAUGAGCAUGUUAAGAUGAGUUGUGAUUCAUAAAAUCUAUGUGAGAUAAUUGAACCAUGUCCCUUUUUCUUGGAGUGAAAUGAAAAAUAUAUUCUUAAUUUCUUGGCGAUGUUUUGAUGAUCUCAUUAUUCUUUCAUCUUGAUUGACUGCUUGCCAUAGAUUAAGUUUAAUUGACUAGAGAAUGCUAGAAUUCGCUCUUGUGCUUGUUGAGACGUGAUAUCAAUACAUGGCCCUGAUUCUGGAAGGGAUAGAGGUUCUCUAGGAAUUACCACCAUUGCCAAAUAAACUUGUGUCCCCAUUUGUGCCCGUCGUGGGACCCCCCUAGAUAAGCCCCUUUGAGCCUACUUUGAGCCUUUUCGUUCAUCACCCUUAAAAUCCUUAACCAUGAAGCUUAGUAUAGUUACAACCCUACCCUUUGUUCUAAGGACUUAGUGGAGCUAUCUUUUGAGACAUACUACAUGGGUUUGGUGCUAAGGAUGAAGAUUGAGAAGAGGUGAAAGUUCAAGUGUGGGGAUAGACUUGUCCAUAAAGAAAAAGAUAUGUUGAAGCCGUGAAAAAUGAAAAGAAAAGAGAAAAAUUGUGUACGGCUAAAAAGAAAAAGAAAAAAAAUAUAUAUAUAUGUUUAUGGACUUUCAUCCCCCAUACUUAGUGAUUUUGGAGUUUGCUUUGAAUUGAAGGCCCACUACAGAAAAAUUUGGCCUUUGUCCAUUUCACUAGAGUUCAAGGGAAGUUUAUAUUGAAGAUUGGGCCCAACAUGAAGACAUUUGGCCCUCUUAUAUUACCUCUAUGGGGAAGUGACGUUUUUGCAAUGCCUUGGUGAAAUAUUUCGAGAUCUCUACAUUCAUAUGAGCUCUAAUAGGUUUUUAGGACACUUUGAUAAUCCUUACCUUUCAUUUCUUUAAACCUUGAGCCUUAGCCCCAUUACAACCUUUGAGAGGACCUUCUUGAUCCUUAAGAUGGGACAGCCUUUGAUGUGGAGAUGAGUUACAAGAGUUGAACCUAUGGCUUGGGUCCAUUCGUGCAAGUAGUUGAUAUCCUUCAUGAGAUCUUUUGAAAAAAAAAAAUUAUAUUCACAAAGUGCUUUUCGUUUCUUAUAUAUGUGAGCUAUUUGACUGCCUUAAAAUAUGUUCUCUCACAUAUAAAUGAGUGAUUAUAAGCUUUUAAGCAUUGCCUUGAUCUGAGAGAAGAAAAAGUGGAUAUACCUUGUGAGGAUAUGAAUCAUACUUGUCUGAAGCAUGCUAAGCUAAACCCCAAUCACCAUUAUUACAACCAAGUCCUACUUGUGUAUGUGUGGAUCAUAUGUUUUAAUUAACUCUCGAAUGCUUAACAUUGAUUCUUGGUUGAGUGCUAAUCUUGGUGUUGUGAAAGUAAGAGAUUUCUGAGACAAUAUGUUAAAGGGCAAUAGAGGUCUUUGUGAUGUCAACAUCUUGGUCUUUGUCUUUGAAUUUACUCUUUUAUGUGUGACGUUUUUUUUUUUCUUUGUGUUUUGCUUUGUGUUUUACGUUUUUGGUUUCUUUGAGUCUUUGUGUUUUUGUUUCCAUACUUAGUCAUUUUUUUCGUUGGUUUCUUUGUUUUGUGUCAUAGUCUUUUUGGUUUGUUAGUUUUUGAUUUUGCUAAGGGACUAGCAAAAGCUAAGUGUGGGGGAAUUUGAUAGGAGCAUUUUAAUGUGGUAUUUUAAUAGUUAAUUCCUCACAUUUUGCUUAGUUAAUUCCUUAACGAAUCGAUUUUUAACUCAAUUUCUAUUUUCUUACGUACAUUGGAGUAAAUGAUGGUGAAAUGAGCAUUAGGUCCACACUUACCUAUAAAUGGUGGAGAAAAAUGGAAAUGUACUAAGAUGUCAAUUUUACACAUUUUCCUACUCCGGCUAGGAAAAACCAAGCCAAGCAAGGAAGAAGGAGCGGCCGCCGGACCAAAUGAACUUCAAAUGAGCUGAAACUUUCUAGAUCCAUUCUAGACAUCCUAAGGAUCGUUUCUUAUGAAGAGUGCCAGAGCUAGAAUUGAGCGGAAGGCCUUCAAACAGUCAGCCCAAUUUCCUGCAGAAGCAAAACUGGAAAACUGGACCUGUAAGAGGUCCAGCAGCAUUUUCGGCCCAACCACAUGGAAUAAAAAUAUGAAAUUUUACCAGGGUGAUCUACACUCAUAAUGGAACAUUUUUUAUGAAGAGGUCAUAGUGAAAUUGGGAAUGCUUGUUGGAGAAAUAAUUGAAGGAAUAAAGGGGCAGAAACUGAUCUAAAAACAGCUCAACAUCACAUGUUCAUGUUUCCUACCCACAUGAAGAAAGCUAGAUGCUUUUCUCUUUUUCCUUGGAUAUAUUUUUCUGCUCCAAUAGAUCAUCAUCACUUCCAUACUUCUGCACAUUCAUGCCUUGCUUUCAUUUCAUCAUUACUCCAUCUUUUCCAUAUUUUACAAACCACUUUCAUUAUUUUUCUUCCAUUUAUCAUUUCACUCUUCUUUUUCAUCCCUAUAUAAACACCUUCUCCUCUCACUCUAAAAACAUUCCUUCAUCCAUUUCAUCUUCUUUGUCUCUCCAUUUCCAUUCCAUUUUUCUCUCCAUUCUCUAGUUGCAAAAUUCUGCGUUUUCAAGUAAGAAGAAGAAGAAGAAGAAGGAGCCGGGAAUAUCAUAUCCUCCAUCGUCCACCUUGAAGGCUUGCUUCCAAGAUUCAAGAUUUCAACGUUUCAAGCACUCCAUCUCCAUCUCCAACUCACGGUGUGUACCCUCAAUCCCCGGAAUAGAACGAUCCCUAUUUGCUUAUACUACUAACGAUGUUUUCAGGGUUAAAUUAUGCGCUUGCUUUGAGCGUAUCACAAUCUCACAUAAGCAACAUAAAAAUCAACAUAAAGAAAUCACAAUUUUUAUUCAAACAUAGAAAUUGGGCUUAAACUUUGCCCUUAAUGUUAUUGUUAACUAGAAACAAAUUCCUACGAAAUUAAAUAAGGAAAAAGAAUGAAUUACACCGUGAGUUGGAGAUGGAGAUGGAGUGCUUGAAACGUUGAAAUCUUGAAUCUUGGAAGCAAGCCUUCAAGGUGGACGAUGGAGGAUAUGACAUUCCCGGCUCCUUCUUCUUCUUCUUCUUCUUACUUGAAAACGCAGAAUUUUGUAACUAGAGAAUGAAGAGAAAAAUGGAAUGGAAAUGGAGAGACAAAGAAGAUGAAAUGGAUGAAGGAAUGUGUUUAGAGUGAGAGGAGAAGGUGUUUAUAUAGGGAAGAAAAAGAAGAGUGAAAUGAUAAAUGGAAGAAAAAUAAUGAAAGUGGUUUGUAAAAUAUGGAAAAGAUGGAGUAAUGAUGAAAUGAAAGCAAGGCAUGAAUGUGCAGAAGUAUGGAAGUGAUGAUGAUCUAUUGGAGCAGAAAAAUAUAUCCAAGGAAAAAGAGAAAAGCAUCUAGCUUUCUUCAUGUGGGUAGGAAACAUGAACAUGUGAAUAUUGAGCUGGUUUUAGGUCAAUUUCUGCCCCUUUAUUCCUUCAAUUAUUUCUCCAACAGGAAUUCAUUUUUGGCUCUUGACUUCUUCAUAUGAAAUGAUCUACCAUGAGUGUAGAUCAUUUUGGUAAAAUUUCAGAAUUUAUUUCCAUGCCUUUGGGCCAGAAUCUCUGCUGGACUCCUUACGGGUCCAGUUUUCCAGUUUUGCUUCUGCAGGAAAUUGGGCUAACUGUUUGAAGGCCUUCCGCUCAAUUCUAGCUCUGGCACUCUUCAUAAGAAACGAUCCUUAGGAUAUCUAGAAUGGAUCUGGAAAGUUUCAGCUUAUUUGGAGUUCAUUUGGUCAGGCGGCCGCUCCUUCUUCCUUGCUUGGCUUGGUUUCUCCUAGCCGGAGUAGGAAAAUGUGUAAAAUUGACCUUUUAGUACAUUUCCAUUUUUUCUCCAUCAUUUAUAGGUAAGUGUGGACCUAAUGCUCAUUUCACCAUCAUUUACUCCAAUGUACCUAAGAAAAUAGAAAUUGAGUUAAAAAUCGAUUCGUUAAGGAAUUAACUAAGCAAAAUGUGAGGAAUUAACUAUUAAAAUACCACAUUAAAAUGCUCCUAUCAAAUUCCCCCACACUUAGCUUUUGUUAGUCCCUUAGCAAAAUCAAAAACUAACAAACCAAAAAGACUAUGACACAAAACAAAGAAACCAACGAAAAAAAUGACUAAGUAUGGAAACAAAAACACAAAGACUCAAAGAAACCAAAAACGUAAAACACAAAGCAAAACACAAAGAAAAAAAAACGUCACACAUAAAAGAGUAAAUUCAAAGACAAAGACCAUGAUGUUGACAUCACAAAGACCUCUAUUGCCCUUUAACAUAUUGUCUCAGAAAUCUCAUACUUUCAAGUCACCAAGAUUAGCACUUAACCAAGAAUCACAUCAUCAAGAUAUUCAAGA